GGCCCGUUAGCUCAGUUGGUUAGAGCGUCGUGCUAAUAACGCGAAGGUCGUGGGUUCGAUCCCCUCACGGGCCA
This 74-nucleotide transfer RNA is filed under the name Schistocerca nitens (vagrant locust). RNAcentral's name for it is "transfer RNA isoleucine (anticodon AAU)". It matches the Rfam family "tRNA". From Rfam's summary of the family: Transfer RNA (tRNA) molecules are approximately 80 nucleotides in length. Their secondary structure includes four short double-helical elements and three loops (D, anti-codon, and T loops). The record is from RNAcentral. Lineage: Eukaryota; Metazoa; Arthropoda; Insecta; Orthoptera; Acrididae. RNAcentral also lists the same sequence under 2 other names.